RNAcentral lists this transfer RNA (65 nucleotides) under Aplysia kurodai (Kuroda's sea hare). Its description in RNAcentral is "tRNA-Ala". RNAcentral also lists the same sequence under 2 other names. The record is from RNAcentral. Lineage: Eukaryota; Metazoa; Mollusca; Gastropoda; Aplysiida; Aplysiidae.
GGAACUGUACUUUAUGUAGAAGAUUUGGUUUGCAAUUAAACAGAGGAAUAUUAUUCCCAGUACCA